This 74-nucleotide transfer RNA is filed under the name Gammaproteobacteria bacterium. Its description in RNAcentral is "tRNA-Gly". It matches the Rfam family "tRNA". From Rfam's summary of the family: Transfer RNA (tRNA) molecules are approximately 80 nucleotides in length. Lineage: Bacteria; Pseudomonadati; Pseudomonadota; Gammaproteobacteria. The record is from RNAcentral.
GCGAGUAUGGUGUAACGAUAGCAUGCGAGGCUUCCAACCUCCUGGUCAGGGUUUGAAUCCCUGUACUCGCUCCA